GCGAGUGAAGCGGCAAAAGCUCAAAUUUGAAAUCCGCAAGGAGUUGUAAUUUGAAGGAGGAGCGGUUCCGGCGGCGCGUGCUUCGAAGUCCCUUGGAACAGGGCGCCUUGGAGGGUGAGAGCCCCGUGCGAGGCUGCGCGCUGGCGGUAUACGCUGCUGCUCCGACGAGUCGAGUUGUUUGGGAAUGCAGCUCAAAGUGGGUGGUAAAUUCCAUCUAAAGCUAAAUAUUGGCGAGAGACCGAUAGCGAACAAGUACAGUGAUGGAAAGAUGAAAAGCACUUUGAAAAGAGAGUGAAACAGUACGUGAAAUUGUUGAAAGGGAAGGGCUUGCAAGCAGACACGGCCCCUCCGGGCCGGGCCAGCAUCGGUUGGCGGGGGUGGACAAGGCGGCGGGAAUGUGGCUUGCGUCCUCUGGGCGCAAGUGUUUAUAGCCCGCUGAGAUACACCCACUGCCGACCGAGGCCUGCGACAUCUUGUCUAGGAUGCUGGCGUAAUGGUUGCAAGCCGCCC
Molecule: ribosomal RNA, 510 nt
Filed under: [Candida] sp. EN1S10
Lineage: Eukaryota; Fungi; Ascomycota; Saccharomycetes; Saccharomycetales
Description: eukaryotic LSU rRNA
Rfam family: Eukaryotic large subunit ribosomal RNA
Source: RNAcentral